UUUACUGUCGGCGCCGACUCCCGUUCCCAGUGACCCCCAAGCCAGCGACAGCCGCUAGAGCAGCACUUAAAAAUGGUCUGUGUUUGAGUAGACAAAGUAAGACUUGUUUCCGUGGCUCCUCGUUCUCACCAAAUGUGUCAAGGCCCUCGGAUGAGAAGCCCAGUUAAAUAAACAAGCCGCCUGAAGAGAACACGUGUCCCCAGCGGGCCCAGCAGGUGCCUGGCCGUGACCUCGCUGGAGGUGUGGCGGGGAAGCUGCGCCCUUCUCCAUCUGCCCCCAGAAAGGCCCGCCCUCGCGCCAUCCUCCAGCCUGGGGCUUGCGACCCGCACACUUGUUCCACUCACAAGUACACUCUGCCACGCUGCUAGUGGGCCUUCCCGUCGGCCCUGAAUGAAUUAUGUGUGUUUAUGUCUACACUUCUCUGACCUGGAAAGAUGGCGAGAAGAAAAACCCAUCUUUUCAUUGACCCCUCCGAGUAUCACCCUGCGCUGGCCGGUUGCAGUGCUGGGAGGUUGCCAAUGGCCGUGGAAGCACCUGUCGGACACUGGCGUGGAGCAUGCGCAGGGGCCGCACGCCUGCCCCACUCAGACUCGUCACUUACCCGUGGGUUAUUCCCACUCUGCCCGCCUGCCCUGGCUGAGGAGCAAGGGCUCACGUCGGGGUCAGGGACGUAGGGUGAGAGCGCGGUUCACAGGCCAGGCGUGCUCAUCGCCAUCCCCAUGGAGGCUCGCAGAGGGCCCGACCGUCCUCCUCUGCUUACCUCCCGGAGGCAGGUGAAUGGGAUGAAUGAGUAAAGUAGCACGUGCUCAUCAGCGGGUGGGAGAACAGACCAGCAGGUGCCUUCCCGUCCUUCCCGUGCCUCAGAGCAGACCCACCACCUUGCCAGGGCGCGCUCCCGUCAGAGGAUCCUAACAUCCUCGCUCCGAUCUUGGAACGAUGAAGGUUCAGAGACGUCCGGUUCAUAGCAUUGUUACCUGAAUCCUUCGAGUCCGUGCUCAGCACAACUCAGUAAAUCGACACUCACCGAAGACCUGCCGGGGGCAGAAAGCCCUGUGCUGGAAAACAGAGGACAAAGAGAAAGUUCCUGCCCUCGGGAGUUCACAGUCACGUAGACAGACAGACAGCUGCAGAACAGUGAGGUGGGGGCCAGGAGAGGGCUGACCACCCCUGCCACAGAGGAGAGUCAGGACAGACCAGAAGGACAAGGACGAGUGUGCCUGGAAGAGGAAGUAGGAGUGGGCAGGCUGGGCCGGGGAACUAGGGUCCUGCGGGUGGUCCCCCGUGGCUGGAGUGUCCAGGCCUCCAGGCCGGUGAAGCUGGCAGGGGUGGGCCGCGCGGGUGUGGUGAGUCUUCAGAAGGAACCUGCGUCUUAUCACAGGGCUGACGAGCACUUUUAGUAGGCUGACGUGUGGUAUGUAUCUCGGAAAGAUCACACACGAGAAGGUUGUCUCGGGUAACUUCACAGUUUCCUUAAGACUUUAGAGUCACUUGCUGGGAAUCCCAGUUGUUCAGUGGAAACCAGCUUAGAAUCAAAAAGACUGGUGUUUUGUUCUGGCUCCUUCGUGGUCUAGGUUUGUGACCUUGAGCAGAUCACUCUCUCAGCCUUUCUUUCCUCAUGAGUGCCCCGGGAAAAGCAACAGCUGAGGGGCGCCUGGGUGGCUCCGCCAGCUAAGGGACCGGCUCUGGAUUUCAGCUCAGGUCAUGAUCUCGGGACUGAGAGAUCAAUCUUCACCUCAGGCUCCAUGCUCCAUGCAGAGUCUGCCUAGAAUUCUCUUGCUCUGCUCUUUCCCCAACUCACUCUGUCUAAAAAACAAAUAAAUCUUUAAAACUACUAAUAAUAACAGCUGAUUGGGCUUGACCUGCGUCAUCUGUGACGUUCACUCAGAACCCACCCACAGCAUGUGCUCACACACACACACAAGCGUGUGCAGAUACGUACCCAUCAGCUUUGUAAAUCCUCCAGUGUCGUGGAAUAUAGAUGGUCGCAUUUCCGCUCAGCCAGCCAGCCUCUGAAGUCCGCAUCUGCGUGGGGGCCGUGUAAAUCAUCACUUUUUCUGUUGCUGUCCCUCUCACAGACUGCUUCCAGGACUCUGGGGUGCCCAGCCCCUCAAUUCUGCAGCUUUCACGGGGUGCAGGUACUUUAUGCACAUGGUUUCAUUGAACCUGCUUCAUCUCCCUAGGAGGCAGGUAGAGAAGCUCCUCUUAUUGACAAAGGUACCGGCCUCAGUCCUUCUCAGAAUUAGGCCUAAUAAGGGGCGCCUGGCUGGCUUGAUCGGUGGAACAUGUGAUUCCUGUUCUCAGGGUUGUGAGUACGAGUCCCAGGUUGGGCAUGGAGCUCACU
Long non-coding RNA from Lutra lutra (Eurasian river otter), 2341 nucleotides. RefSeq lists it as uncharacterized. The record is from RefSeq and is a predicted model, not a curated record. NCBI's taxonomy places the organism in Eukaryota, Metazoa, Chordata, Mammalia, Carnivora, Mustelidae. The transcript has 2 exons.